UACGUAGGGGGCAAGCGUUGUCCGGAAUCAUUGGGCGUAAAGCGCGUGUAGGCGGCCCGGUAAGUCCGCUGUGAAAGUCGGGGGCUCAACCCUCGGAUGCCGGUGGAUACUGUCGGGCUAGAGUGCGGGAGAGGCGAGUGGAAUUCCUGGUGUAGCGGUGAAAUGCGCAGAUAUCAGGAGGAACACCGAUGGCGAAGGCAGGUCUCUGGGCUGUAACUGACGCUGAGGAGCGAAAGCAUGGGGAGCGAACAGG
Molecule: ribosomal RNA, 253 nt
Filed under: uncultured bacterium
Lineage: Bacteria
Description: partial 16S ribosomal RNA
Rfam family: Bacterial small subunit ribosomal RNA
Source: RNAcentral